Dreissena polymorpha is the source of this 686-nucleotide long non-coding RNA. RefSeq lists it as uncharacterized. The record is from RefSeq and is a predicted model, not a curated record. Lineage: Eukaryota; Metazoa; Mollusca; Bivalvia; Myida; Dreissenidae. The transcript is spliced from 3 exons.
UUAACUGCUUUUUGGAUUUGAUUGAACCUUUAUUUAAGUGUAUCAUGUAUGAAUCUAAAGCAGUAGUUGUUUACAGAAUUUGGCGUUGCAAGCAUGUGGCGUGUGGUAUCAAUUUAACAAAUGUGCUUGUUUGUUUAUAUUUUUAUUAGGGAUGGCAACGAAUACCGAUUUCGGUAUUCGAAUAUUUGGUCAUCCUUCCGAACGAAUAUUCGGAUAUUCGGUCAACAUCUGUUGAAAAAAAGUCAACUUUGUUUACCGUACCAUUACUCCAUGAAUUCUACUUUACAAAACAAAAAUAAAUUGUACUUAUUUACAGUAUAACAUUAUUAGGGGCGAAGAUUUCCGACCAGAGUUCCGACAAAUUGGGGAACUGCGCAGCCUGACAGAACUGAUGUACCCUUGCUUGCAGUUACUGCUACAGCAACAGAGAAGGUACAGCAGAAUAUACACCAAGGUCUGCUGUUGUCCGACGAUGCGUUAUCCGUCGGCGUAUUACCCGACAGACCGAAUAUUCGACUGGCGGUUAGAAAUCGACUGAUCACGCUGAGGAAGAGCUGGUGUGGUUGCUGCAACAGUUUCAGACAACACCCACACUGGUCAAGACUAUAAUAUUCUGCAAGUCGUACAGGUGUGUAUAUCAAGUGUGGUCAUGGUUGGUUAUUCAACUCGGUGACAUGUCUUACGAC